GACGAACGCUGGCGGCGUGCCUAAUACAUGCAAGUAGAACGCUGAAGAGAGGAGCUUGCUCUUCUUGGAUGAGUUGCGAACGGGUGAGUAACGCGUAGGUAACCUGCCUGGUAGCGGGGGAUAACUAUUGGAAACGAUAGCUAAUACCGCAUGAAAUUGCUUAUCGCAUGAUAAUUAAUUGAAAGAUGCAAUUGCAUCACUACCAGAUGGACCUGCGUUGUAUUAGCUAGUUGGUGAGGUAACGGCUCACCAAGGCGACGAUACAUAGCCGACCUGAGAGGGUGAUCGGCCACACUGGGACUGAGACACGGCCCAGACUCCUACGGGAGGCAGCAGUAGGGAAUCUUCGGCAAUGGGGGGAACCCUGACCGAGCAACGCCGCGUGAGUGAAGAAGGUUUUCGGAUCGUAAAGCUCUGUUGUAAGAGAAGAACGGGUGUGAGAGUGGAAAGUUCACACUGUGACGUAUCUACCAGAAAGG
RNAcentral lists this ribosomal RNA (479 nucleotides) under Streptococcus sanguinis. RNAcentral describes it as "bacterial SSU rRNA". It matches the Rfam family "Bacterial small subunit ribosomal RNA", at positions 28 to 491 of the family's 1533-position model. The record is from RNAcentral. Lineage: Bacteria; Bacillati; Bacillota; Bacilli; Lactobacillales; Streptococcaceae.